UGAAACUACGCCUACAUGAAGCUGGAGUUACUAGUAAUCGCAGAUCAGAAUGCUGCGGUGAAUGCGUUCCCGGGUCUUGUACACACCGCCCGUCACACCACGGAAGUUGGGGGGCGCCCGAAGCCACUUAGCUAACCCAUUUGGGAAGCGAGUGUCGAAGGUGAAAUCAAUAACUGGGGUGAAGUCGUAACAAGGUAGC
Molecule: ribosomal RNA, 199 nt
Filed under: uncultured bacterium
Lineage: Bacteria
Description: partial 16S ribosomal RNA
Rfam family: Bacterial small subunit ribosomal RNA
Source: RNAcentral